Molecule: ribosomal RNA, 390 nt
Filed under: uncultured bacterium
Lineage: Bacteria
Description: bacterial SSU rRNA
Rfam family: Bacterial small subunit ribosomal RNA
Source: RNAcentral
AUUGAACGCUGGCGGCGUGCUUAACACAUGCAAGUCGAGCGGUAACAGGUGUAGCAAUACAUGCUGACGAGCGGCGAACGGGUGAGUAAUGCUUCGGAAUCUUCCUCGUAGUGGGGAAUAACCUGGGGAAACUCAGGCUAAUACCGCAUACGAACUACGGUUGAAAGCAGGGGAUCGCAAGACCUUGCGCUAUGAGAUGAGCCGAAGUCGGAUUAGCUAGUUGGUGAGGUAAAGGCUCACCAAGGCGACGAUCCGUAGCGGGUCUGAGAGGAUGAUCCGCCACACUGGGACUGAGACACGGCCCAGACUCCUACGGGAGGCAGCAGUGGGGAAUUUUGGACAAUGGGCGAAAGCCUGAUCCAGCCAUGCCGCGUGUCUGAAGAAGGCCUU